Molecule: non-coding RNA, 53 nt
Filed under: unclassified sequences
Description: Mu-gpT-DE RNA
Rfam family: Mu-gpT-DE RNA
Source: Rfam by way of RNAcentral
CCCUGACAGUCGCAAUGGGCGACUGACACUAGCCCCGACAGGAGACACUCAUG